RNAcentral lists this ribosomal RNA (232 nucleotides) under uncultured bacterium. RNAcentral's name for it is "partial 16S ribosomal RNA". It matches the Rfam family "Bacterial small subunit ribosomal RNA", at positions 99 to 334 of the family's 1533-position model. The record is from RNAcentral.
CGGACGGGUGAGUAAUGUCUGGGAAACUGCCUGAUGGAGGGGGAUAACUACUGGAAACGGUAGCUAAUACCGCAUAACGUCGCAAGACCAAAGAGGGGGACCUUCGGGCCUCUUGCCAUCGGAUGUGCCCAGAUGGGAUUAGCUAGUAGGUGGGGUAGAGGCUCACCUAGGCGACGAUCCCUAGCCGGUCUGAGAGGAUGACCAGCCACACUGGAACUGAGACACGGUCCAG